This 2208-nucleotide ribosomal RNA is filed under the name Escherichia coli. RNAcentral's name for it is "partial 23S ribosomal RNA". It matches the Rfam family "Bacterial large subunit ribosomal RNA", at positions 1 to 2234 of the family's 2925-position model. Lineage: Bacteria; Pseudomonadati; Pseudomonadota; Gammaproteobacteria; Enterobacterales; Enterobacteriaceae. The record is from RNAcentral.
GGUUAAGCGACUAAGCGUACACGGUGGAUGCCCUGGCAGUCAGAGGCGAUGAAGGACGUGCUAAUCUGCGAUAAGCGUCGGUAAGGUGAUAUGAACCGUUAUAACCGGCGAUUUCCGAAUGGGGAAACCCAGUGUGAUUCGUCACACUAUCAUUAACUGAAUCCAUAGGUUAAUGAGGCGAACCGGGGGAACUGAAACAUCUAAGUACCCCGAGGAAAAGAAAUCAACCGAGAUUCCCCCAGUAGCGGCGAGCGAACGGGGAGGAGCCCAGAGCCUGAAUCAGUGUGUGUGUUAGUGGAAGCGUCUGGAAAGGCGCGCGAUACAGGGUGACAGCCCCGUACACAAAAAUGCACAUGCUGUGAGCUCGAUGAGUAGGGCGGGACACGUGGUAUCCUGUCUGAAUAUGGGGGGACCAUCCUCCAAGGCUAAAUACUCCUGACUGACCGAUAGUGAACCAGUACCGUGAGGGAAAGGCGAAAAGAACCCCGGCGAGGGGAGUGAAAAAGAACCUGAAACCGUGUACGUACAAGCAGUGGGAGCCUCUUUAUGGGGUGACUGCGUACCUUUUGUAUAAUGGGUCAGCGACUUAUAUUCUGUAGCAAGGUUAACCGAAUAGGGGAGCCGAAGGGAAACCGAGUCUUAACUGGGCGUUAAGUUGCAGGGUAUAGACCCGAAACCCGGUGAUCUAGCCAUGGGCAGGUUGAAGGUUGGGUAACACUAACUGGAGGACCGAACCGACUAAUGUUGAAAAAUUAGCGGAUGACUUGUGGCUGGGGGUGAAAGGCCAAUCAAACCGGGAGAUAGCUGGUUCUCCCCGAAAGCUAUUUAGGUAGCGCCUCGUGAAUUCAUCUCCGGGGGUAGAGCACUGUUUCGGCAAGGGGGUCAUCCCGACUUACCAACCCGAUGCAAACUGCGAAUACCGGAGAAUGUUAUCACGGGAGACACACGGCGGGUGCUAACGUCCGUCGUGAAGAGGGAAACAACCCAGACCGCCAGCUAAGGUCCCAAAGUCAUGGUUAAGUGGGAAACGAUGUGGGAAGGCCCAGACAGCCAGGAUGUUGGCUUAGAAGCAGCCAUCAUUUAAAGAAAGCGUAAUAGCUCACUGGUCGAGUCGGCCUGCGCGGAAGAUGUAACGGGGCUAAACCAUGCACCGAAGCUGCGGCAGCGACACUAUGUGUUGUUGGGUAGGGGAGCGUUCUGUAAGCCUGCGAAGGUGUACUGUGAGGUAUGCUGGAGGUAUCAGAAGUGCGAAUGCUGACAUAAGUAACGAUAAAGCGGGUGAAAAGCCCGCUCGCCGGAAGACCAAGGGUUCCUGUCCAACGUUAAUCGGGGCAGGGUGAGUCGACCCCUAAGGCGAGGCCGAAAGGCGUAGUCGAUGGGAAACAGGUUAAUAUUCCUGUACUUGGUGUUACUGCGAAGGGGGGACGGAGAAGGCUAUGUUGGCCGGGCGACGGUUGUCCCGGUUUAAGCGUGUAGGCUGGUUUUCCAGGCAAAUCCGGAAAAUCAAGGCUGAGGCGUGAUGACGAGGCACUACGGUGCUGAAGCAACAAAUGCCCUGCUUCCAGGAAAAGCCUCUAAGCAUCAGGUAACAUCAAAUCGUACCCCAAACCGACACAGGUGGUCAGGUAGAGAAUACCAAGGCGCUUGAGAGAACUCGGGUGAAGGAACUAGGCAAAAUGGUGCCGUAACUUCGGGAGAAGGCACGCUGAUAUGUAGGUGAAGCGACUUGCUCGUGGAGCUGAAAUCAGUCGAAGAUACCAGCUGGCUGCAACUGUUUAUUAAAAACACAGCACUGUGCAAACACGAAAGUGGACGUAUACGGUGUGACGCCUGCCCGGUGCCGGAAGGUUAAUUGAUGGGGUUAGCGGUAACGCGAAGCUCUUGAUCGAAGCCCCGGUAAACGGCGGCCGUAACUAUAACGGUCCUAAGGUAGCGAAAUUCCUUGUCGGGUAAGUUCCGACCUGCACGAAUGGCGUAAUGAUGGCCAGGCUGUCUCCACCCGAGACUCAGUGAAAUUGAACUCGCUGUGAAGAUGCAGUGUACCCGCGGCAAGACGGAAAGACCCCGUGAACCUUUACUAUAGCUUGACACUGAACAUUGAGCCUUGAUGUGUAGGAUAGGUGGGAGGCUUUGAAGUGUGGACGCCAGUCUGCAUGGAGCCGACCUUGAAAUACCACCCUUUAAUGUUUGAUGUUCUAACGUUGGCCC